This 494-nucleotide ribosomal RNA is filed under the name uncultured bacterium. RNAcentral's name for it is "partial 16S ribosomal RNA". It matches the Rfam family "Bacterial small subunit ribosomal RNA", at positions 28 to 507 of the family's 1533-position model. The record is from RNAcentral.
GACGAACGCUGGCGGCGUGCUUAACACAUGCAAGUCGAACGGUGAAGCGCCUUCCUCUUUGGCGGGCGUGGAUGAGUGGCGAACGGGUGAGUAACACGUGAGUAACCUGCCCCCUUCUUCUGGAUAACCGAAUGAAAGUGUGGCUAAUACCGCAUAUUCUGGGUCUGUCGCAUGAUGGGUCUUGGAAAGAUUUUGCUUCGGUGUGGGAUGGGCUCGCGGCCUAUCGGUUUGUUGGUGGGGUGAUGGCCUACCAAGGCGGUGACGAGUAGCCGGCCGGGGAGGAUCGGCGGUAACAGAGGUAAUGAGACACGGAGCAGACUACGAGGGGAGGCAGCAGUGGAGAAUAGUGCACGAUGGGCGCAAGCCUGAUGCAGCGCCGCCGCGUGAGAGAUGGAGGCCUGCGGGUUGUGAACCUCUUUCGCCAGAGAAGCAGGCCUGCCUCGUUUGUGGGUGGGUUGACGGUAGCUGGAGAAGAAGCGCCGGCUAACUACGUG